This 459-nucleotide ribosomal RNA is filed under the name uncultured bacterium. RNAcentral describes it as "partial 16S ribosomal RNA". It matches the Rfam family "Bacterial small subunit ribosomal RNA", at positions 338 to 795 of the family's 1533-position model. The record is from RNAcentral.
CCUACGGGUGGCAGCAGUGAGGAAUAUUGGUCAAUGGCCGGAAGGCUGAACCAGCCAAGUCGCGUGAGGGACGACUGCCCUAUGGGUUGUAAACCUCUUUUAUAAGGGAACAAUAGAUGCUACGUGUAGCAUUCUGACUGUACCUUAUGAAUAAGCAUCGGCUAACUCCGUGCCAGCAGCCGCGGUAAUACGGAGGAUGCGAGCGUUAUCCGGAUUUAUUGGGUUUAAAGGGUGCGUAGGCGGGUUUUUAAGUUAGUGGUAAAAUGUCGGGGCUAAACCUUGUUUUGCCAUUGAUACUGUUAGACGUGAGUGAGGACGAGGUAGGCGGAAUGAGUGGUGUAGCGGUGAAAUGCUUAGAUAUAACGCAGAACGCCGAUUGCGAAGGCAGCUUACCAGACUGCAACUGACGCUGAUGCACGAGAGCGUGGGUAGCGAACAGGAUUAGAUACCCCAGUAGUC